CUAGCCGUAAACGAUGGAUACUAGGUGUGGGUGUCGCAGGGCAUCCGUGCCGCAGUUAACGCGUUAAGUAUCCCGCCUGGGGACUACGGUCGCAAGACUGAAACUCAAAGGAAUUGACGGGGGCCCGCACAAGCGGUGGAGCACGUGGUUUAAUUCGAUGCAAACCGAAGAACCUUACCUAGGCUUGACAUACAAGUGGUAGUGAAGUGAAAGCUUAACGACCUUGCAGUAAUGUAAGGAGCUUGAACAGGUGC
Molecule: ribosomal RNA, 254 nt
Filed under: uncultured Synergistaceae bacterium
Lineage: Bacteria; Thermotogati; Synergistota; Synergistia; Synergistales; Synergistaceae
Description: partial 16S ribosomal RNA
Rfam family: Bacterial small subunit ribosomal RNA
Source: RNAcentral